Molecule: non-coding RNA, 126 nt
Organism: Capsicum annuum
Lineage: Eukaryota; Viridiplantae; Streptophyta; Magnoliopsida; Solanales; Solanaceae
Source: Rfam
CAGAGAAAAGUCUGUCAAUAUAGCUAAAGACGACUGCCUAGUAACACUAUUAACUACUCCAUAUAAAAUGGAGGAAGAUAGCACAUUAGGCAAGUCAUCCUUGGCUAAUUAACAGUGCCUUUCCUU